This 71-nucleotide transfer RNA is filed under the name bacterium. Its description in RNAcentral is "tRNA-Gln". It matches the Rfam family "tRNA". From Rfam's summary of the family: Transfer RNA (tRNA) molecules are approximately 80 nucleotides in length. The record is from RNAcentral. RNAcentral also lists the same sequence under 1 other name.
UGGGGGAUCGUCUAACGGCAGGACAGCGCCCUUUGAAGGCGUUUAUCCAGGUUCGAAUCCUGGUCCCCCAG